RNAcentral lists this ribosomal RNA (259 nucleotides) under uncultured Planctomycetota bacterium. Its description in RNAcentral is "uncultured planctomycete partial 16S ribosomal RNA". It matches the Rfam family "Bacterial small subunit ribosomal RNA", at positions 574 to 831 of the family's 1533-position model. The record is from RNAcentral. Lineage: Bacteria; Pseudomonadati; Planctomycetota.
GGUGGGUUUGUAAGUCAGAUGUGAAAGCCUCCUGUUCAACGGGAGAAUUGCAUCUGAAACUGUGAAUCUUGAGUGUAGGAGGGGAGAGUGGAACUUCUGGUGGAGCGGUGAAAUGCGUAGAUAUCAGAAGGAACGCCGGCGGCGAAAGCGAUUCUCUGGCCUAUUACUGACACUCAGUGUGCGAAAGCUAGGGGAGCAAACGGGAUUAGAUACCCCGGUAGUCCUAGCCGUAAACGAUGGGCACUAAGUAGAGGGGUUU